GACAGCAGCAGCCGCGGGAAUACAGAGGGUGCGAGCGUUAAUCGGAUUUACUGGGCGUAAAGCGUGCGUAGGCGGCUUUUUAAGUCGGAUGUGAAAUCCCUGAGCUUAACUUAGGAAUUGCAUUCGAUACUGGGAAGCUAGAGUAUGGGAGAGGAUGGUAGAAUUCCAGGUGUAGCGGUGAAAUGCGUAGAGAUCUGGAGGAAUACCGAUGGCGAAGGCAGCCAUCUGGCCUAAUACUGACGCUGAGGUACGAAAGCAUGGGGAGCAAACAGGAUUAGAUACCCGUGUAGUCCCUGUCUCUUAUAC
This 306-nucleotide ribosomal RNA is filed under the name uncultured bacterium. Its description in RNAcentral is "partial 16S ribosomal RNA". It matches the Rfam family "Bacterial small subunit ribosomal RNA", at positions 505 to 807 of the family's 1533-position model. The record is from RNAcentral.